RNAcentral lists this ribosomal RNA (465 nucleotides) under uncultured Klebsiella sp. RNAcentral's name for it is "bacterial SSU rRNA". It matches the Rfam family "Bacterial small subunit ribosomal RNA", at positions 338 to 795 of the family's 1533-position model. The record is from RNAcentral. Lineage: Bacteria; Pseudomonadati; Pseudomonadota; Gammaproteobacteria; Enterobacterales; Enterobacteriaceae.
CCUACGGGAGGCUGCAGUGGGGAAUAUUGCACAAUGGGCGCAAGCCUGAUGCAGCCAUGCCGCGUGUGUGAAGAAGGCCUUCGGGUUGUAAAGCACUUUCAGCGGGGAGGAAGGCGGUGAGGUUAAUAACCUCAUCGAUUGACGUUACCCGCAGAAGAAGCACCGGCUAACUCCGUGCCAGCAGCCGCGGUAAUACGGAGGGUGCAAGCGUUAAUCGGAAUUACUGGGCGUAAAGCGCACGCAGGCGGCCUGUCAAGUCGGAUGUGAAAUCCCCGGGCUCAACCUGGGAACUGCAUUCGAAACUGGCAGGCUAGAGUCUUGUAGAGGGGGGUAGAAUUCCAGGUGUAGCGGUGAAAUGCGUAGAGAUGUGGAGGAACACCAGUGGCGAAGGCGACUCUUUGGUCUGUAACUGACGCUGAGGCGCGAAAGCGUGGGGAGCAAACAGGAUUAGAUACCCGGGUAGUC